GGCUCUGUGGUAUAAUGGAUAGUACAUUGGACUUCUAGGAGGUGUUUGAAGCUAUUCAAAGGUUGUGGGUUCGAGUCCCACCAGAGUCU
RNAcentral lists this transfer RNA (89 nucleotides) under Takifugu rubripes (torafugu). It matches the Rfam family "tRNA". From Rfam's summary of the family: Transfer RNA (tRNA) molecules are approximately 80 nucleotides in length. Their secondary structure includes four short double-helical elements and three loops (D, anti-codon, and T loops). Further hydrogen bonds mediate the characteristic L-shaped molecular structure. tRNAs have two regions of fundamental functional importance: the anti-codon, which is responsible for specific mRNA codon recognition, and the 3' end, to which the tRNAs corresponding amino acid is attached (by aminoacyl-tRNA synthetases). tRNAs cope with the degeneracy of the genetic code in two manners: having more than one tRNA (with a specific anti-codon) for a particular amino acid; and 'wobble' base-pairing, i.e. permitting non-standard base-pairing at the 3rd anti-codon position. Lineage: Eukaryota; Metazoa; Chordata; Actinopteri; Tetraodontiformes; Tetraodontidae. The record is from Rfam by way of RNAcentral.